CUUAUAUUUUGGAUGUAAGGAAAGUUGCUAGCACUUUACUCUUCAUGAAAUCUGAUGGGGAAAAAACCAACCAACAAUUACUACAUCAAGAUAGUUUCCUAGUGGCCACGUUGCAUUUUGAGAUAUAUACUUUGAUGAUUGGAAUUUACCCUCUUGGAUAGCCAAGGCAUUUCUUUCUUCAUCAUUCAUGGUAACCAACCGAAUACCAGGUUCAAAGAAUUCAAACAAGCUGCAUUGCUGACCUUUUUGUCUCUGGUAGAAGAACACGAAUGUUGGCUUUGUUUUAUUUUGAAAUCCCUGUUGGCAGAUAUAGACAGAGCCACAGCAUCGGCAUUACAAAUCCUACUAUCGCAUUUGUUAGGAGAUGCUGGCAGUCCUAAUGUUGUGGGUUUGGCAUUUCUUUCUUCAUCAUUCAUGGUAACCGACUGAAUACAAGGCUUAAACAAUUCAAACAAGCUGCAUUGCUGACCUUUUUGUCCCUGGGAGAAGAACACAAAGUUGGCUUUGUUUUCUUUUGAAAUCCCUGUUGGCAGCGGUCUCUCGGGAUGUUGUUGGUUCAAAAGUAUCUUCUGCAUUUAGUGGUGACAAUUAUUUUAUAAUAGAGAAAACACAGGGGGCAAAUUGAAAAGAGUCAGGGUGAUAUCGUUACAGACAAGGAUGUUAUCAUUUGUCGUUCAUGGUUGAAUGAUGUGAAACAUAUGUUACGCUGAUACAGACAGAGCCACAGCAUCGGCAUUGCAAAUCUUGCUAUCACAUUUGUUAGGAGAUGCUGGCAGUCCUUAUAUUGUGGGUUUGACUCAGCACAGAAAUCGUGUGACUCAAUCAAUUGCUGCAGUUGCGUGUGUCAAGGAAGGGCUGAGAUUCUGGUAUGAAGACCAACUGGAAAUACUUCGUGGAUUUUGAGAUUACAAAAUCGGCUAAACUCGAUGAAACACAAACUUCACGACCAGCUGUUGGAGAGACAGAGAUGUAAGAAAGUUUAAUUCCAAAAAAAUUCUUUGACAAUGCAGAACAAAAGGUGCUGCUCACAUAACAGGGCGGAUCUUCACCCUCGUCAAUUUUAUUACAAGAUUCCGGUCAAAAGUUGAAUCUUGGUUCGUCGUUUGUUCAACGAACUCGAUAUUCGAGUCGUAGUCUGAGAGAUGGACCAAGCACUUUUAUACUUCUUGAUGUCGUACCAGAUUCCAAAGACAGUGUUUUAUACAAGGAAGAAACUGAAGGCAAGCGAAAUUACCCUUUCAAUAUGGUGAAAUUCAAAAUGGCGGUGCAACAGAGAUGAUGCCAUGUGGAUCUCGUAGUUUUCACCUUUGUGAGCAAGCUGGUCGUGCUGUGUGUUCAAACAUGAAGAUGAAGCCGAUUUCGAGGGAAUCUUUCAACGUGCUAGCCAGUAAAGAUUUGUGUUGGAUAUGUUCCUGUUUCUUCAGAAGCCAAGGCUUCCUAGUGGCCACGUUGCAUUUUGAGGUAUAUACUUUGAUGAUUGGAAUUUACCCUCUUCGAUAGCCAAGGUGAGAAAGAUCAUUGUUAAGUUUUAUCUGACUCCAGGAUGUAUUUGAUAUGUUAUGCUGAUAUAGACACAGCCACAGCAUCGGCAUGGCAAAUCCUACUAUCACAUUUGUUAGGAGAUGCUGGCAGUCCUAAUAUUGUGGGUUUGGCAUUUCUUUCUUCAUCAUUCAUGGUAACCGACUGAAUACAAAUUUAAACAAUUCAAACAAACUGCAUUGCUGACUUUUUUGUCCCUGGAAG
Molecule: long non-coding RNA, 1743 nt
Filed under: Dendronephthya gigantea
Lineage: Eukaryota; Metazoa; Cnidaria; Anthozoa; Malacalcyonacea; Nephtheidae
Description: uncharacterized LOC114544219, transcript variant X4
Source: RNAcentral